RNAcentral lists this ribosomal RNA (693 nucleotides) under Triticum aestivum (bread wheat). RNAcentral's name for it is "partial small subunit ribosomal RNA". The record is from RNAcentral. Lineage: Eukaryota; Viridiplantae; Streptophyta; Magnoliopsida; Poales; Poaceae.
AUGCCCGCCAUGGCCUCCUCCGUCGCCGUGUCGAUCAUCCGCUCGUCCUGGAGAUGCAUAAGAGCCCUCCCGACCCCGUUGACAAACCCUAGCCAACAAAAUUCCCCUCGCACGUCCUCUCCCUCUCGGUUUUGCUCGCUUCCGAGCCAUCGUUGUCGCGCCAUCGUUACCACCAUGGCCACCGGCCUCCCCUCGCCGCUCGAAGAUGUCCGGGGGCUCCGUCGUGGUCGGAUCCAUCACCACGCCGAAGAGCUCGAGCUAGGAUGCCCCGUAGCCUCGCCAUCGUGCGCGUCUUCGCCCGCGGCCGCCGCAUCACGCCGUCGUUUGCCACCCCAACGGGCCACCCCGGCGGCCUUGACCAUGUCCACGAGCCUCCCCACUACGAGACUGACGCCGCUGCUGGUGCCCCGAUGGACUACGCUGUUGACGACCCCUACUUGCCAGAGUAACCAGACGUUGGAGUCCAGGAGCCAGAUGUCACCGUCGACGACGACUACUACUACUACUACUCGGGAGGUGCCUACUACUACGUGCAGCCCGCUGACGACGACCAGGAGUAGUUUAGGAGGAUCCCAGGCAGGAGGCAUGCGCCUCUUUCGAUCUGUAUCCCAGUUUGUGCUAGCCUUCUUAAGGCAAACUUGUUUAACUUAUGUCUGUACUCAGAUAUUAUUGCUUCCGCUGACUUGUCUAUGA